UCGGGAAUUUUGGGCAAUGGGCGAAAGCCUGACCCAGCAACGCCGCGUGAGGGAUGAAGUAUUUCGGUAUGUAAACCUCGAAAGAAUGGGAAGAAUAAAUGACGGUACCAUUUAUAAGCUCCGGCUAACUACGUGCCAGCAGCCGCGGUAAUACGGAGGGUGCGAGCGUUAUCCGGAUUUACUGGGUUUAAAGGGUGCGUAGGUGGGCUUAUAAGUCAGUGGUGAAAUCUCCGAGCUUAACUUGGAAACUGCCGUUGAUACUAUAGGUCUUGAAUUAUCUGGAGGUAAGCGGAAUAUGUCAUGUAGCGGUGAAAUGCUUAGAUAUGACAUAGAACACCAAUUGCGAAGGCAGCUUACUACAUAUAAAUUGACGCUGAGGCACGAAAGCGUGGGGAUCAAACA
This 402-nucleotide ribosomal RNA is filed under the name uncultured bacterium. RNAcentral's name for it is "bacterial SSU rRNA". It matches the Rfam family "Bacterial small subunit ribosomal RNA", at positions 355 to 774 of the family's 1533-position model. The record is from RNAcentral.